CUUGACCGAGCCGAGCCACAGCGGUUCGUCCCCGGCGCGUUCCUGGCCGUACGUGGCCAGCAGCGCCUGCGCCUC
Molecule: antisense RNA, 75 nt
Filed under: Actinoplanes sp. N902-109
Lineage: Bacteria; Bacillati; Actinomycetota; Actinomycetes; Micromonosporales; Micromonosporaceae
Description: ASpks TB sRNA
Rfam family: ASpks TB sRNA
Source: Rfam by way of RNAcentral